RNAcentral lists this ribosomal RNA (658 nucleotides) under Enterococcus faecalis. Its description in RNAcentral is "partial 23S ribosomal RNA". It matches the Rfam family "Bacterial large subunit ribosomal RNA", at positions 1570 to 2241 of the family's 2925-position model. Lineage: Bacteria; Bacillati; Bacillota; Bacilli; Lactobacillales; Enterococcaceae. The record is from RNAcentral.
AGCGAAAUAAUAGUAGCGAAGUUCCUGAUGUCACACUGCCAAGAAAAGCUUCUAGUGAGAAAACAACUGCCCGUACCGUAAACCGACACAGGUAGUCGAGGAGAGUAUCCUAAGGUGAGCGAGCGAACUCUCGUUAAGGAACUCGGCAAAAUGACCCCGUAACUUCGGGAGAAGGGGUGCUGACUUCGGUCAGCCGCAGUGAAUAGGCCCAAGCGACUGUUUAUCAAAAACACAGGUCUCUGCAAAAUCGUAAGAUGAAGUAUAGGGGCUGACGCCUGCCCGGUGCUGGAAGGUUAAGAGGAUGGGUUAGCUUCGGCGAAGCUCAGAAUUGAAGCCCCAGUAAACGGCGGCCGUAACUAUAACGGUCCUAAGGUAGCGAAAUUCCUUGUCGGGUAAGUUCCGACCCGCACGAAAGGCGUAACGAUUUGGGCACUGUCUCAACGAGAGACUCGGUGAAAUUUUAGUACCUGUGAAGAUGCAGGUUACCCGCGACAGGACGGAAAGACCCCAUGGAGCUUUACUGUAGUUUGAUAUUGAGUGUUUGUACCACAUGUACAGGAUAGGUAGGAGCCGAUGAGACCGGAACGCUAGUUUCGGAGGAGGCGCUGGUGGGAUACUACCCUUGUGUUAUGAACCCUCUAACCCGCACCACUAAUCG